CUUCGAUUUUACAAUGGACAGAUAAAUUAAUACGCGCCCAGUUUUAGCAGUUCCGACUGAAUUUAACGUCUGUUAUUUCUUUUGCAGAAUGCCUUGUUUCACAAAAAAGAACACUGUUCAGAUAUUUUCUCUGGACUGUCAAUUUCUGCAUUUCAUAAUCAUGUGAUACCUGUGUUGGAGCCCUCCCAAAAACCUCCCCUGUAAAAUUUCAAAGUUAAGGAGAUCAUUCAAAUGACAGAGGUUUUGGUCCAUCUUGGUUUGUCUCAACAGUUAAUCUUUUGGAAAGCAGUGUUGGAGAAAAUAUCAGCAACAUGUGAAGA
Long non-coding RNA from Saccostrea echinata, 320 nucleotides. RefSeq lists it as uncharacterized. The record is from RefSeq and is a predicted model, not a curated record. The transcript is spliced from 3 exons. NCBI's taxonomy places the organism in Eukaryota, Metazoa, Mollusca, Bivalvia, Ostreida, Ostreidae.